RNAcentral lists this transfer RNA (78 nucleotides) under Treponema pallidum subsp. pallidum str. Chicago. RNAcentral describes it as "tRNA-Ala". It matches the Rfam family "tRNA". Rfam says of the family: Transfer RNA (tRNA) molecules are approximately 80 nucleotides in length. Their secondary structure includes four short double-helical elements and three loops (D, anti-codon, and T loops). The record is from RNAcentral. Lineage: Bacteria; Pseudomonadati; Spirochaetota; Spirochaetia; Treponematales; Treponemataceae.
UGGGGAAUUAGCUCAGCUGGUAGAGCGUUUGGUUCGCAAUCAAGAGGUCAGGGGUUCGACUCCCCUAUUCUCCACUCG